UGGGGAAUAUUGGACAAUGGGCGCAAGCCUGAUCCAGCAAUGCCGCGUGUGUGAAGAAGGCCUUCGGGUUGUAAAGCACUUUUAGUAGGGAAGAAAGCUUUAUGGUUAAUAACCAUGAAGAUUGACGCUACCUGCAGAAAAAGCACUGGCUAACUCUGUGCCAGCAGCCGCGGUAAUACAGAGAGUGCAAGCGUUAAUCGGAAUUACUGGGCGUAAAGCGCGCGUAGGUGGAUAUGUAAGUCGGAUGUGAAAGCCCUGGGCUUAACCUAGGAAUUGCACCCGAGACUGCACAUCUAGAGUAUGGUAGAGGGAAGUGGAAUUUCCGGUGUAGCGGUGAAAUGCGUAGAUAUCGGAAGGAACACCAGUGGCGAAAGCGGCUUCCUGGACCAAUACUGACACUGAGGUGCGAAAGCGUGGGGAGCAAACAGGAUUAGAUACCCGUGUAGUCC
Molecule: ribosomal RNA, 449 nt
Filed under: uncultured bacterium
Lineage: Bacteria
Description: bacterial SSU rRNA
Rfam family: Bacterial small subunit ribosomal RNA
Source: RNAcentral